Molecule: ribosomal RNA, 810 nt
Filed under: uncultured bacterium
Lineage: Bacteria
Description: bacterial SSU rRNA
Rfam family: Bacterial small subunit ribosomal RNA
Source: RNAcentral
AGAGUUUGAUCAUGGCUCAGAAAUCAACGCUGGCGGCGUGCCUAACACAUGCAAGUCGAACGCGAAAACCCCGCAAGGGGUUAGUAGAGUGGCGAACGGGUGAGUAACACGUGGGUGACCUACCUUCGAAUGGGGGAUAACGUCCCGAAAGGGACGCUAAUACCGCAUAACAUCCUGCCUUUGAACAGGCGGAGAUCAAAGCCGGGGAUCGCAAGACCUGGCGUUUGAAGAGGGGCCCGCGUCUGAUUAGCUAGUUGGUGAGGUAACGGCCCACCAAGGCGACGAUCAGUAUCCGGCCUGAGAGGGCGGACGGACACACUGGGACUGAGACACGGCCCAGACUCCUACGGGAGGCAGCAGUGGGGAAUUGUUCGCAAUGGGCGCAAGCCUGACGACGCAACGCCGCGUGGAGGAUGAAGGUCUUCGGAUUGUAAACUCCUGUUGCCCGGGACGAAAAGCUUCGACCUAACACGUCGAAGUCUGACGGUACCGGGUGAGGAAGCCCCGGCUAACUCUGUGCCAGCAGCCGCGGUAAUACAGAGGGGGCAAGCGUUGUUCGGAAUUACUGGGCGUAAAGGGCGCGUAGGCGGCCUUCUAAGUCGAACGUGAAAUCCCCGGGCUCAACCCGGGAACUGCGUCCGAUACUGGAAGGCUUGAAUCCGGGAGAGGGAUGCGGAAUUCCAGGUGUAGCGGUGAAAUGCGUAGAUAUCUGGAGGAACACCGGUGGCGAAGGCGGCAUCCUGGACCGGCAAUUGACGCUGAGGCGCGAAAAGCCAGGGGAGCAAACGGGAUUAGAUACCCCCGUAGUCC